RNAcentral lists this ribosomal RNA (253 nucleotides) under uncultured bacterium. RNAcentral's name for it is "partial 16S ribosomal RNA". It matches the Rfam family "Bacterial small subunit ribosomal RNA", at positions 524 to 776 of the family's 1533-position model. The record is from RNAcentral.
UACGUAGGGACCUAGCGUUGUCCGGAAUCAUUGGGCGUAAAGCGCGCGUAGGCGGCCCGGUAAGUCCGUUGUAAAAGUCGAAGGCUCAACCUUCGAAAGCCGAUGGAUACUGUCGGGCUCGAGUCCGGAAGAGGCGAGUGGAAUUCCUGGUGUAGCGGUGAAAUGCGCAGAUAUCAGGAGGAACACCAAUGGCGAAGGCAGCUCGCUGGGACGUGACUGACGCUGAGACGCGAAAGCGUGGGGAGCAAACAGG